UACGAAGGGGGCGAGCGUUGUUCGGAAUUACUGGGCGUAAAGGGCGCGCAGGCGGCUCUGAAAGUCAGAUGUGAAAGUCCCGGGCUUAACCUGGGAAUUGCAUUUGAUACUCUGGAGCUUGAGUACGGGAGAGGUGAGUGGAAUUCCAGGUGUAGUGGUGAAAUACGUAGAUAUCUGGAGGAACACCGGCGGCGAAGGCGGCUCACUGGCCAUAUACUGACGCUGAAACACGAAAGCGUGGGGAUCAAACAGGG
This 254-nucleotide ribosomal RNA is filed under the name uncultured bacterium. Its description in RNAcentral is "partial 16S ribosomal RNA". It matches the Rfam family "Bacterial small subunit ribosomal RNA", at positions 524 to 777 of the family's 1533-position model. The record is from RNAcentral.